Molecule: long non-coding RNA, 835 nt
Organism: Anopheles merus
Lineage: Eukaryota; Metazoa; Arthropoda; Insecta; Diptera; Culicidae
Exons: 4
Source: RefSeq, a predicted model, not a curated record
UUGUUUUCUAAUUCUCAUUAACUUUAUGUACCUUUGUGGACAAUUUUGUUUAAAUGUUGCAGGGUAUAGUUCUAUUGAUGCAAUUAUUCAGUUUUAGCAGUGAUAUUGUUGUUGUAUACUUGUUAUAAAGUGCUUUUCGUGUUGGUAUUAUUGCUAUUGCCGUUGGAGAAGUGGUUUCAUAUGCGAUCUUAUCGUUCGUUGUGAUUAGGUCUGGACGGGAAUACAAACAAACAAAAAAACAUAUUUGUGUCUUCCAGAUUGAUACACUAGACAUGUGUAUCCAGUGCGAUAUGAUUCAACAUAAGCCCGGACAUCGCCCAAUAGGAAAUAAAAUGGACGGAUAGCUAAAAAGAGGCGAAGGCACUUCCGCAAAGCCACAACUAGAAGGGGGUUAUCUGUAACGAAUGGUUCUGUAGGCAGUUGCUGGCCGAUCUGAGGUUUAUGCCCCACAACUUUCGGAUCUUCCGAAAGCGCAUCAUUUACCUUGUCAGGUGUCUUACGUUAUUUUAUCUGAAGCGUUAUGCCCUUAAAUAACCAUAGAAGAGUUAGGUUUGUGGAUGGUUAAUUUGUGGAAUUUCUCGAACCACCUCGAACCAAAUUGUAUUGCUGUGCGGGUUACUAAAGGAAGCGAUCGAAUGUCAUACAAAAAUGACCAUGGGAUGUUGCAUAGCAAUACACAUGAGCCAUUAGUUACACAUUGUUGCAUACAAUAAAAGUCUUGCCGGAUGUGUAACUGCGGAUUGGGGUUGUGCACUAUAGUCGCACGAUUAUAAGAUCGCUAUGCUAAUGGAAGUUGCUUGCCACUUUUUUCAAUGUAUGUAAUUGACAGCGAAUG